RNAcentral lists this ribosomal RNA (433 nucleotides) under uncultured bacterium. RNAcentral's name for it is "partial 16S ribosomal RNA". It matches the Rfam family "Bacterial small subunit ribosomal RNA", at positions 29 to 507 of the family's 1533-position model. The record is from RNAcentral.
AGCGAACGCUGGCGGCAGGCCUCACACAUGCAAGUCGAACGGAUCCUUCGGGAUUAGUGGCGGACGGGUGAGUAACACGUUGGGACGUGCCCUUUGGUUCGGAACAACUCAGGGAAACUUGAGCUAAUACCGGAUGUGCCCUUCGGGGGAAAGAUUUAUCGCCAUUGGAGCGGCCCGCGUCUGAUUAGCUAGUUGGUGAGGUAACGGCCCACCAAGGCGACGAUCAGUAGCUGGUCUGAGAGGAUGAUCAGCCACACUGGGACUGAGACACGGCCCAGACUCCUACGGGAGGCAGCAGUGGGGAAUCUUGCGCAAUGGGCGAAAGCCUGACGCAGCCAUGCCGCGUGAAUGAUGAAGGUCUUAGGAUUGUAAAAUUCUUUCAGCGGGGACGAUAAUGACGGUACCCGCAGAAGAAGCUCCGGCUAACUUCGUG